UACGUAGGCAGCAAGCGUUGUUCGGAAUUACUGGGCGUAAAGAGUGUGUAGGCGGUGUUCUAAGUCUGUUGUGAAAUCUCCCGGCUUAACUGGGAGGGUGCGGCGGAAACUGGAAUGCUAGAGGAUGGGAGAGGUAAGCGGAAUUCCUGGUGUAGCGGUGAAAUGCGUAGAUAUCAGGAGGAACACCUGUGGUGUAGACAGCUUACUGGACCACCUCUGACGCUGAGACACGAAAGCGUGGGGAGCAAACAGG
This 253-nucleotide ribosomal RNA is filed under the name uncultured bacterium. RNAcentral's name for it is "partial 16S ribosomal RNA". It matches the Rfam family "Bacterial small subunit ribosomal RNA", at positions 524 to 776 of the family's 1533-position model. The record is from RNAcentral.